This 253-nucleotide ribosomal RNA is filed under the name uncultured bacterium. RNAcentral describes it as "partial 16S ribosomal RNA". It matches the Rfam family "Bacterial small subunit ribosomal RNA", at positions 524 to 776 of the family's 1533-position model. The record is from RNAcentral.
UACAGAGGUCUCAAGCGUUGUUCGGAUUCAUUGGGCGUAAAGGGUGCGUAGGCGGCGCGGUAAGUCGGGUGUGAAAUCUCGGAGCUUAACUCCGAAACUGCAUUCGAUACUGCCGUGCUUGAGGACUGGAGAGGAGACUGGAAUUUACGGUGUAGCGGUGAAAUGCGUAGAUAUCAGGAGGAACACCGAUGGCGAAGGCAGGUCUCUGGGCAUUAACUGACGCUGAGGAGCGAAAGCCUGGGGAGCGAACAGG